RNAcentral lists this microRNA precursor (95 nucleotides) under Erinaceus europaeus (western European hedgehog). RNAcentral's name for it is "miRNA (ENSEEUG00000023292.1)". The record is from RNAcentral. Lineage: Eukaryota; Metazoa; Chordata; Mammalia; Eulipotyphla; Erinaceidae.
AGGAGGAGCAGAGUUCCAGGACUGGCAUUUGAACAUGCAGCUGACGGGAAAAGUGGUGCUGGCCGCAGCUGCUCUGCUCCUGGUCACUGCAGCCU